Molecule: long non-coding RNA, 421 nt
Filed under: Coturnix japonica (Japanese quail)
Lineage: Eukaryota; Metazoa; Chordata; Aves; Galliformes; Phasianidae
Description: lncRNA (ENSCJPG00005003092.1)
Source: RNAcentral
UUUAGAGGGGGAAAUUUGUUCCUUAGUCGUUUCCUUUUUCUAAGCCCUCUAAGUAGAGAACAAUGCCUGGGAGGGCAAGAUAUUUUAAGCACUCAGGUCCCUUGAAGCCAAAUGGUUUGAAAGCAUUCUGAAAGUUACUUGGAGCCUGGCUGGCCAGCAGCCUACAGACAGACAACCACCGAUGGAGAGACUUUCUGCUUCUCAGAAAGAAUCAAAACCUGUAAAGAAUGAAUUGCAGACAUUCCCAGGAGCUGCUGUAUAGCGAAGUGCCUGAUCAACACAUACUAUUGUGGUAAUUAGAAGACAACUCAAGUACAAAUGGAACCAGCUCCUCUGUUCUCAAGCCUUCCAUGUUCCAACCUGCUACAUUUCCUGCACUCUCAAUACCCUGCUGUGAUAUUUUCUUGAGGAGGAGCAACUC